UGAGUAACCUGCCCUUCACUCUGGGAUAACUCCGGGAAACCGGGGCUAAUACUGGAUAUGACUCGAACAGGCAUCUGUUUCGGGUGGAAAGAUUUAUUGGUGGAGGAUGGACUCGCGGCCUAUCAGCUUGUUGGUGAGGUAAUGGCUCACCAAGGCGACGACGGGUAGCCGGCCUGAGAGGGCGAUCGGCCACACCGGGACUGAGACACGGCCCAGACUCCUACGGGAGCA
Molecule: ribosomal RNA, 231 nt
Filed under: uncultured bacterium
Lineage: Bacteria
Description: partial 16S ribosomal RNA
Rfam family: Bacterial small subunit ribosomal RNA
Source: RNAcentral